ACAAGGCAGCAGGAGCAGAGAGCAGCCAUUGCUGUGUCUGGCAGCAGGAUUACACAGUAGUGAAGACAUCCAGUGAGUGUAAGACACCCAGCAGCUGUCCACUUGUGUCAGGAGGACUGAGCAGGACUCAGAGCCCCAUCACAGUGCCUCCACCUUACUCGCGGAUGCAUGAGAGACACAAUGACCAGAAGAUCCUGGAAAUCACCAACAAGAUCAUUCAGCUGCUGACUGGAGAGGAGGGGGGAGUAUAUAGAGGAACACAGGGGUCUGUACAAGGACGUGAUGAUGGAGAAUCACCGGCCCCUCACAUCACUGGAUGGGCCCAGUAACAGAGAUACCCCAGAGAGAUGUCCCCGUCCUCUGUAUUCCCAGUAUUGUACAGAGGAGACUCACAGGACCCCACA
Pseudophryne corroboree (corroboree frog) is the source of this 404-nucleotide long non-coding RNA. RefSeq lists it as uncharacterized. The transcript is spliced from 4 exons. The record is from RefSeq and is a predicted model, not a curated record. Lineage: Eukaryota; Metazoa; Chordata; Amphibia; Anura; Myobatrachidae.